Molecule: ribosomal RNA, 468 nt
Filed under: uncultured bacterium
Lineage: Bacteria
Description: partial 16S ribosomal RNA
Rfam family: Bacterial small subunit ribosomal RNA
Source: RNAcentral
GACGAACGCUGGCGGCGUGCUUAACACAUGCAAGUCGAACGGAAAGGCCCUGCUUUCGUGGUGUUCUCGAGUGGCGAACGUGUGUGUAACACGUGAGUAAUCUGCCCUUGACUUGGGGAUAACUUCAGGAAACUGGGGCUAAUACCGGAUAGGCGCUCCUGCUGCAUGUUGUUGGUUGGAAAUUUUCGGCUGUUGGGGUUGGACUCGCGGCUUACCAGCUUGUUGGUGGGGUAGUGCCUUACCAAGCCUUUGACGGGUAGCCGGCCUGGGUGGGUGACCGGCAACAUUGGGAUUGGGUUACGGCCCGGACUCCUACGGGAGGCAGCAGUGGGGAAUAUUGCACAAUGGGCGGAAGCCUGAUGCAGCAACGCCGCGUGCGGGAUGACGGCCUUCGGGUUGUAAACCGCUUUGGCCUGUGACGAAGCGUGAGUGACGGUAAUGAGUAAAGAAGCACCGGCUAACUACGUG